AUGGCUGUCGUCAGCUCGUGUCGUGAGAUGUUGGGUUAAGUCCCGCAACGAGCGCAACCCUCGUUCUAUGUUGCCAGCACGUGAUGGUGGGGACUCAUAGGAGACUGCCGGGGUCAACUCGGAGGAAGGUGGGGAUGACGUCAAAUCAUCAUGCCCCUUAUGUCUUGGGCUUCACGCAUGCUACAAUGGCCAGUACAAAGGGCUGCGAUACCGCAAGGUGGAGCGAAUCCCAAAAAACUGGUCUCAGUUCGGAUUGGGGUCUGCAACUCGACCCCAUGAAGUCGGAGUCGCUAGUAAUCGCAGAUCAGCAACGCUGCGGUGAAUACGUUCCCGGGCCUUGUACACACCGCCCGUCAAGUCACGAAAGUCGGUAACACCCGAAGCCGGUGGCCCAACUCGCGAGAGGGGGAGCCGUCGAAGGUGGGACUGGCGAUUGGGACUAAGUCGUAACAAGGUAGCCGUACCGGAAGGUGCGGCUGGAUCACCUCCUUUCUAAGGAGCACUGGCGCCUCGAGCUUGCCGCCGAUCGUGGUGGGGGUUCGGUUAUGGGUGUCCAGGUAGCCCUUUCACAGCCGUCUGUGUUGUGGGGGUUGCUCAUGGGUGGAUCAUCGGUUAUUUGGCAUCGCGCAUGCCGGUUUGUCUGCUAGUACAGGUUCGACCCUUGGGUUGGGCGUUGGAACGUGGGUGGGGUGGGGUGGGUGGUGUCUGGCACGUUGUUGGGUCCUGAAGGCUCGGGCGCAAGCUCUGGUGCUUUCUGUUCGGGCCUCACCUGUUGUCCGUACCGCGAGUGUCCCUUUUGGGGGGCCGGCGGCGGGUGCGUGUGGUGGGGUUCCGCCCGUAUGUUGAGAACUACACAGUGGACGCGAGCAUCUUUGUGAGUCAAGUUUUUAAGGGCGCACGGUGGAUGCCUCGGUACCAGGAACCGAAGAAGGACGUAGGAAUCUGCGAUAAGCCACGGGGAGUCGAUAACCAGACUGUGAUCCGUGGAUUUCCGAAUGGGGAAACCCGG
Molecule: small RNA, 1009 nt
Filed under: uncultured Intrasporangiaceae bacterium
Lineage: Bacteria; Bacillati; Actinomycetota; Actinomycetes; Micrococcales; Intrasporangiaceae
Description: bacterial SSU rRNA
Rfam family: Bacterial small subunit ribosomal RNA (bases 1-492)
Source: RNAcentral